UUCAGGAUUUUUAUUAUUUAAAAAGGUAUUCUUUUUGGAAAGUCCGAUACGAGUUAAAGAUAAUAGAAUAAAAUCUAUUCUGUAAAAAUAGAAGACAUUUAGAAGAAACUAAAAUCUCUAUCUUUAGAUGGAGUUAAGCGAGCCUAUUAAUCUUAUCUUCGUUAUUUACUAAACUAAGUAAUAUUUAAAUUGCUUGGUAUUCAAGUUAAUUUCAAUAGAUAAUUAAAUAAUUAAUAAACAGAAUUCGGCUUAUUAAAAUCUGAAAA
This 266-nucleotide non-coding RNA is filed under the name Pneumocystis carinii. Lineage: Eukaryota; Fungi; Ascomycota; Pneumocystomycetes; Pneumocystales; Pneumocystaceae. The record is from RNAcentral.